This 253-nucleotide ribosomal RNA is filed under the name uncultured bacterium. Its description in RNAcentral is "partial 16S ribosomal RNA". It matches the Rfam family "Bacterial small subunit ribosomal RNA", at positions 524 to 776 of the family's 1533-position model. The record is from RNAcentral.
GACGAAGGAUGCAAGCGUUAUCCGGAUUCAUUGGGUUUAAAGGGAGCGUAGGUGGUCUUAUAAGUCAGUGGUGAAAUCUCUGGGCUUAACCCAGAAAUUGCCAUUGAUACUGUAGGACUUGAGUACAGAUGCCGUUGGCGGAAUAUGACAUGUAGUGGUGAAAUACAUAGAGAUGUCAUAGAACACCGAUUGCGAAGGCAGCUGACGAAGCUGUAACUGACACUGAGGCUCGAAAGUGCGGGGAUCAAACAGG